UACAGAGGUCUCAAGCGUUGUUCGGAAUCACUGGGCGUAAAGGGUGCGGAGGCGGCGUGGAAAGUCAGAUGUGAAAUCCGGGGGCUCAACCUCCGAAUAGCAUCCGAUACUACCAUGCUAGAGAACUGGAGGGGAGUCUGGAAUUCUCGGUGUAGCAGUGAAAUGCAUAGACAUCGAGAGGAACACCAGUGGCGAAGGCGAGACUCUGGACAGUAUCUGACGCUGAUGCACGAAGGCCAGGGUAGCGAACGGG
RNAcentral lists this unclassified non-coding RNA (253 nucleotides) under uncultured Verrucomicrobiota bacterium. RNAcentral describes it as "uncultured Verrucomicrobia bacterium contains 16S-23S intergenic spacer region". It matches the Rfam family "Bacterial small subunit ribosomal RNA", at positions 524 to 776 of the family's 1533-position model. Lineage: Bacteria; Pseudomonadati; Verrucomicrobiota. The record is from RNAcentral.